CUUUCCUCUCCCCUUUCUCUUUUUGCAUUUGCGAGUUGCAUCGAAGCGACCCGCUCCAUUUCGUAAUUCCCGUUUCCAUCGACGUAAUGCACGUCGUAAUUCCACCACCAAGAGAAAGCAAAUGAUGGAAAAGUCCAACACAAACACCGACUGGAGGAGUCAAACUCACGACAACCAGCAUGAACAAACAAACCACACCGAAAAUACAGACAAUUCGAUGUCAAAGGGCCAGGCUGAUGGCUGAGUUGCGACCGACGUAGAGGAAAUCAACCGAAUAGCAAAAGAGGUAGAAAAGAAAGGAGAGAUGAAAAACAAACGCAAUAUUAUCAAACAAUCACAAUUCAUCAUGUAAACAAUAAGAAGAAAAAAAGAAAAGAUGGCAAAAAAGAAAAGAAAAGAUGGUUUCAACAUUUCACUUUUCUAUUUACUAUAAACUUCAAUUCAUUCUUACAUUCCAACAUUUAUUCAUUCCUUCUUUUCUUCAUUCAUACCUUUUCUCCAUUCUCUCACUCUCACUCUCACUGCCCUUCUCUUCUCUCUCUCUACUCCACAGCGUCAUCCUUUCCUCAUCCUUUUCCCUUUCCAUCCUUCAACUUAAUUACUGGUAGGGUCGGUGACGUUUGUUUCAAUUUGGCUCGUGGAUGGCGACGUAUUUGGGCAUUGGAAUGGCAUGCCUAUUGCUACGCUCACACUCACCAUGCCAUUCUGCAAUGAAGAACGUGACGUAGAUUGGAAAAAAAGUAUUGAAUCGCUCGAGUUGGGCGUGAUGUAAGGCAUUGACUCAUUUACUAUAUAUUGAUGGGUUCGCUCGUCCUUCUCUUCUCACAUAUAACAAUUACGAAAGAAAAAAG
Non-coding RNA from Schizosaccharomyces pombe (fission yeast), 851 nucleotides. Lineage: Eukaryota; Fungi; Ascomycota; Schizosaccharomycetes; Schizosaccharomycetales; Schizosaccharomycetaceae. The record is from the annotation of a GenBank genome assembly.